This is a small nuclear RNA of Ictidomys tridecemlineatus (thirteen-lined ground squirrel), 107 nucleotides long. Lineage: Eukaryota; Metazoa; Chordata; Mammalia; Rodentia; Sciuridae. The record is from Ensembl.
GUGGUCACUUCAAUAGCAGGUACACUAAAAUUGGAACGACACAGAGAAAACUAGCAUGGCCCUGGAGCAAAGAUAACACAUAAAUUCAUGAAGCAUUCCAUAUUUUU